Molecule: unclassified non-coding RNA, 250 nt
Filed under: plant metagenome
Description: partial contains small subunit ribosomal RNA, internal transcribed spacer 1, and 5.8S ribosomal RNA
Source: RNAcentral
GUAGGUGAACCUGCGGAUGGAUCAUUAACACUUUUCCAAGUACCUAACUCCGUAUAUUAGUAGUAACUAAAAACUCAUUAACACCACACAUAUGUAAACGAGGACCUCCAAGAGCUGGAUGAAAGACAAACGGAACUCUAAAACAGUAGAGCCGAGUAGCCCAGACCCAAGGGAGUACGCUGUAACAGGCGAACGUGACCCAGGGCGAGGGGUGAAAGAUGGCUGUUCCGCCAGUUUAGGGGUGCUGCUU